UACAGAGGUCUCAAGCGUUGUUCGGAUUCAUUGGGCGUAAAGGGUGCGUAGGCGGUGGGGCAAGUCGGAUGUGAAAUCCCGGGGCUUAACCCCGGAACGGCAUUCGAUACUGCUCUGCUCGAGGGCUGGAAAGGGGACUGGAAUUCACGGUGUAGCAGUGAAAUGCGUAGAUAUCGUGAGGAACACCAGUGGCGAAGGCGGGUCCCUGGACAGCUCCUGACGCUGAGGCACGAAGGCCAGGGGAGCAAACGGG
Molecule: ribosomal RNA, 253 nt
Filed under: uncultured bacterium
Lineage: Bacteria
Description: partial 16S ribosomal RNA
Rfam family: Bacterial small subunit ribosomal RNA
Source: RNAcentral